RNAcentral lists this long non-coding RNA (1112 nucleotides) under Prunus persica (peach). RNAcentral describes it as "long non-coding RNA (PPER_LNC001378)". Lineage: Eukaryota; Viridiplantae; Streptophyta; Magnoliopsida; Rosales; Rosaceae. The record is from RNAcentral.
AACAUAUAGCAAACAAGCCAAAAGAAAAGAAAACUUGUUAUAAACUAGAGAAAUGGUGGAGAGAAUUUAGAGGCAGAGAAAACAAAGGAAUGAUGAACCCUUUUAUAGACACAGCCUUGGCUAAUAACCAAAGAAGGAAGGCUUCAGGAAGGUGUAAGGAAAUUUCCUUCUAACAUGCGAGCUUUACUUUCAAAUUUUUGCAACACUCCCCCUUAGAGACCACAAUGUAUGAAAGAUUUGAUCAUGGGGAACAUGAUGCCUUGUAGGCCCAUAUCUAGGGCUUUCUUGGCCCAAGCUGCGGAGGUCUUGGGUAAGCAAAGAAUGGCGGGGGUUUGAGCGGCGGCCAAGGAGUGGAGGAUAGGAGCGCUUUGGACACGACGCCAUGGUCGUGCUCCAUGUCGACGAAGCCAAAGUUGUAGCCGGAGAGGCCAUGGAUCUCGCGAGGGUUUGGGAUAAGGAGAUGAGGUAGUUGUGGCGGUGGAGGUGUAGUAGGAAAAGGUGGUUGAUUUGAGGGGUGAGGAGGUGGUGGUGAGGUUUAGGGUUUUGACUGAAGGCGGAUUUGGGUGGCGUUGGGUUGGAUGGAGGUUGUGGUUUGAUGGGGAAGUUAGGGGAAGGAGAGGGCGCAUAGAGAGAUGAAUAAGAAGAUAUUUUUUUAUAAUUAAAAUUUCUAUUUUUUAAUUUUUUUAAUUAAACAGUAAUUACAUUAUUUUAAUUUUUAUUAAUAUGUUUUUUCACUUCAGCAAAAAAAAAAAAAAAAAAGUGGGCCAUAUACAUGACACAUCAUCAUUGUGGUAAAAAUAUGAAAAUAAGCCUAUCAUGUCAUCAAAAUUGGCAGAGUUAUGAAUGGAGAUAACAUCAUGUAUCAAAUUGGAACACAAAACAUGGUCAAGGGGGUUAAGUGGGCCAUUUUAACUUCCGGGGGGCACUAUAGUAAAGAAGCCUUUAAAACAAUAGUCCAAUCACUAUCGCAACUCAUUAAUCAACCUCAACCGCGAAUUAAAUUCAAAACCCUAGUUCCCGGAAACUUAAGGUGUGUACACAACUUUAGAAAAGUCGUAAGGCCAUUCUAGUAUUUUCCCCAAAGGACGAGACGGUCUCAAAAGACCUGUGGC